UUGACUGAGCGGCGGACGGGUGAGUAACGCGUGGGUAACCUGCCUCGUACAGGGGGAUAACAGUUGGAAACGGCUGCUAAUACCGCAUAAGCGCACAGUACCGCAUGGUACGGUGUGAAAAACUCCGGUGGUAUGAGAUGGACCCGCGUCUGAUUAGGUAGUUGGUGGGGUAACGGCCUACCAAGCCGACGAUCAGUAGCCGACCUGGGAGGGUGACCGGCCACAUUGGGACUGAGACACGGCCCAA
This 247-nucleotide ribosomal RNA is filed under the name uncultured bacterium. RNAcentral describes it as "partial 16S ribosomal RNA". It matches the Rfam family "Bacterial small subunit ribosomal RNA", at positions 87 to 334 of the family's 1533-position model. The record is from RNAcentral.